AUCACUUCUUGUCCUUCAGCUAAGGAGAAGUGUGAUAUCUGUUCUUAUCAGUUUAAUAGCACAAACAUUCUCUAUAUGAGGACAACAUGGUGAAAAUGGACUUUUGGAGCUGGGAGGUAGAAUGAGAGCUUGCACUGUCCACUCCAUGCAGCAAUGUGGUAUUGCACCACCUCCACCAAUGGUGUACCCCCC
This is a small nuclear RNA of Phodopus roborovskii (desert hamster), 192 nucleotides long. RefSeq annotates it as U2 spliceosomal RNA. The record is from RefSeq and is a predicted model, not a curated record. The transcript has a single exon. Lineage: Eukaryota; Metazoa; Chordata; Mammalia; Rodentia; Cricetidae.